GUUGGCGGCAUGCCUUACACAUGCAAGUCGAACGGUAACAGGUCUUCGGAUGCUGACGAGUGGCGAACGGGUGAGUAAUACAUCGGAACGUGCCCGAUCGUGGGGGAUAACGGAGCGAAAGCUUUGCUAAUACCGCAUACGAUCUACGGAUGAAAGCAGGGGACCGCAAGGCCUUGCGCGGACGGAGCGGCCGAUGGCAGAUUAGGUAGUUGGUGGGAUAAAAGCUUACCAAGCCGACGAUCUGUAGCUGGUCUGAGAGGACGACCAGCCACACUGGGACUGAGACACGGCCCAGACUCCUACGGGAGGCAGCAGUGGGGAAUUUUGGACAAUGGGCGAAAGCCUGAUCCAGCCAUGCCGCGUGCAGGAUGAAGGCCUUCGGGUUGUAAACUGCUUUUGUACGGAACGAAAAGACUCCUUCUAAUAAAGGGGGUCCAU
This 438-nucleotide ribosomal RNA is filed under the name uncultured bacterium. RNAcentral describes it as "bacterial SSU rRNA". It matches the Rfam family "Bacterial small subunit ribosomal RNA", at positions 35 to 476 of the family's 1533-position model. The record is from RNAcentral.